ACGCUCGACACCUACGGGGGCAGCAGUGGGGAAUAUUGCACAAUGGGGGAAACCCUGAUGCAGCGACGCCGCGUGAGUGAAGAAGUAUUUCGGUAUGUAAAGCUCUAUCAGCAGGGAAGAAAAUGACGGUACCUGAGUAAGAAGCCCCGGCUAACUACGUGCUAGCAGCCGCGGUAAUCUGAGCGGGCUGGCAAGGC
This 197-nucleotide ribosomal RNA is filed under the name uncultured bacterium. RNAcentral's name for it is "partial 16S ribosomal RNA". It matches the Rfam family "Bacterial small subunit ribosomal RNA", at positions 328 to 539 of the family's 1533-position model. The record is from RNAcentral.